RNAcentral lists this ribosomal RNA (442 nucleotides) under uncultured bacterium. RNAcentral describes it as "bacterial SSU rRNA". It matches the Rfam family "Bacterial small subunit ribosomal RNA", at positions 958 to 1397 of the family's 1533-position model. The record is from RNAcentral.
AACGCGAAGAACCUUACCAGUCCUUGACAUGUCUCGUAUGGGUCUGAGAGAUCAGAUCCUUCGGUUCGGCCGGCGAGAACACAGGUGCUGCAUGGCUGUCGUCAGCUCGUGUCGUGAGAUGUUGGGUUAAGUCCCGCAACGAGCGCAACCCUUAUUACCAGUUGCCAUCAUUUAGUUGGGCACUCUGGUGAGACCGCCUCGGAUAACGGGGAGGAAGGUGGGGAUGACGUCAAGUCCUCAUGGCCUUUAUGUCCAGGGCUACACACGUGCUACAAUGGCCGGUACAAACCGUCGCAAACCCGUGAGGGGGAGCUAAUCGGAGAAAGCCGGCCUCAGUUCGGAUUGGAGUCUGCAACUCGACUCCAUGAAGCUGGAAUCGCUAGUAAUCGCAGAUCAGAACGCUGCGGUGAAUACGUUCCCGGGCCUUGUACACACCGCAUAC